GGCGGGCUAACACCGGACGGACAAACGGACGGAAAGAGAGUGAGGAAGGAAACAAGGGGGGAAUUGGUAGAACAAUGUGAGAUGGAAAAUAGUGUCGAAAAAUAGGAGACGCAUAGAAGACGAGUCAUGUGUGAGUGACUGAGUCAUAAGAUAUUUAUAUAUUGGACA
Molecule: non-coding RNA, 168 nt
Organism: Caenorhabditis elegans
Lineage: Eukaryota; Metazoa; Nematoda; Chromadorea; Rhabditida; Rhabditidae
Source: Ensembl